RNAcentral lists this ribosomal RNA (255 nucleotides) under Yersinia entomophaga. RNAcentral's name for it is "partial 23S ribosomal RNA". It matches the Rfam family "Bacterial large subunit ribosomal RNA", at positions 313 to 570 of the family's 2925-position model. The record is from RNAcentral. Lineage: Bacteria; Pseudomonadati; Pseudomonadota; Gammaproteobacteria; Enterobacterales; Yersiniaceae.
UGAAUCAGUUUGUGUGUUAGUGGAAGCGUCUGGAAAGUCGCACGGUACAGGGUGAUAGUCCCGUACACAAAAAUGCACAUGCUGUGAACUCGAUGAGUAGGGCGGGACACGUGACAUCCUGUCUGAAGUAUGGGGGACCAUCCUCCAAGGCUAAAUACUCCUGACUGACCGAUAGUGAACCAGUACCGUGAGGGAAAGGCGAAAAGAACCCCGGCGAGGGGAGUGAAAUAGAACCUGAAACCGUGUACGUACAAG